UUGGAGGGCAAGUCUGGUGCCAGCAGCCGCGGUAAUUCCAGCUCCAAUAGCGUAUAUUAAAGUUGUUGCAGUUAAAAAGCUCGUAGUUGAAUUUCGGGAUUGACGUAAUGGUCGUGCCUUAAGGGGUAUGAACUGUUACUGUUGAUUUCUCACCUUCUGGAGAAACUUGAUGUCCUUAAUUGGGUGUCUUGCGGAUCCAGGACCUUUACCUUGAAAAAAUUAGAGUGUUUAAAGCAGGCAUUUUUGCUCGAAUACAUUAGCAUGGAAUGAUAGAAUAGGACGGCAUGGUUCUAUUUUGUUGGUCUCUAGGAUCACCGUAAUGAUUAAUAGGGAUAGUUGGGGGCAUUAGUAUUCAAUUGUCAGAGGUGAAAUUCUUGGAUUUAUUGAAGACUAACUACAGCGAAAGCAUUUGCCAAGGAUGUUUUCAUUAAUCAAGAACGAAAGUUAGGGGAUCGAAGACGAUCAGAUACCGUCGUAGUCUUAACCAUAAACUAUGCCGACUAGGAAUCAGACGAUGUUAAUUUUUUAAUGACUCGUUUGGCACCUUACGGGAAACCAAAGUGUUUGGGUUC
This 572-nucleotide ribosomal RNA is filed under the name uncultured Glomeromycotina. RNAcentral describes it as "SSU rRNA". It matches the Rfam family "Eukaryotic small subunit ribosomal RNA", at positions 548 to 1114 of the family's 1831-position model. The record is from RNAcentral. Lineage: Eukaryota; Fungi; Glomeromycota.